Small nucleolar RNA from Tachyglossus aculeatus (Australian echidna), 138 nucleotides. NCBI's taxonomy places the organism in Eukaryota, Metazoa, Chordata, Mammalia, Monotremata, Tachyglossidae. The record is from RefSeq and is a predicted model, not a curated record.
AACCUCUCAGGGUCACACCUGGAGAGUUCCCAGUACUCUACCAGUCUCGACUACAGGAGGGAGAGUCAGGCAGAGACAUGCCCAUGCCAUUCCUGGCUUGGGCAGUGGCUAGUGAGUGAAAGGAAAACUGCUACAAGU